AUCGAACGCUGGCGGCAUGCUUUACACAUGCAAGUCGAACGGCAGCGCGGGCUUCGGCCUGGCGGCGAGUGGCGAACGGGUGAGUAAUGCAUCGGAACGUGCCCAGUAGUGGGGGAUAGCCCGGCGAAAGCCGGAUUAAUACCGCAUACGACCUGAGGGUGAAAGCGGGGGACCGAAAGGCCUCGCGCUAUUGGAGCGGCCGAUGUCGGAUUAGCUAGUUGGUGGGGUAAAGGCUUACCAAGGCGACGAUCCGUAGCUGGUCUGAGAGGACGACCAGCCACACUGGGACUGAGACACGGCCCAGACUCCUACGGGAGGCAGCAGUGGGGAAUUUUGGACAAUAGGGGCAACCCUGAUCCAGCCAUGCCGCGUGCGGGAAGAAGGCCUUCGGGUUGUAAACCGCUUUUGUUCGGGAAGAAAUCCUCUGGGCUAAUACCCCGGGGGGAUGACGGUACCGGAAGAAUAAGCACCGGCUAACUACGUG
This 484-nucleotide ribosomal RNA is filed under the name uncultured bacterium. Its description in RNAcentral is "partial 16S ribosomal RNA". It matches the Rfam family "Bacterial small subunit ribosomal RNA", at positions 29 to 507 of the family's 1533-position model. The record is from RNAcentral.